GAUGAACGCUGGCGGCGUGCCUAAUACAUGCAAGUCGAGCGAACAGAUGAGGAGCUUGCUCCUCUGACGUUAGCGGCGGACGGGUGAGUAACACGUGGAUAACCUACCUAUAAGACUGGGAUAACUACGGGAAACCGGAGCUAAUACCGGAUAAUAUAUUGAACCGCAUGGUUCAAUAGUGAAAGACGGUUUUGCUGUCACUUAUAGCUGGAUCCGCGCCGCAUUAGCUAGUUGGUAAGGUAACGGCUUACCAAGGCAACGAUGCGUAGCCGACCUGAGAGGGUGAUCGGCCACACUGGAACUGAGACACGGUCCAGACUCCUACGGGAGGCAGCAGUAGGGAAUCUUCCGCAAUGGGCGAAAGCCUGACGGAGCAACGCCGCGUGAGUGAUGAAGGUCUUCGGAUCGUAAAACUCUGUUAUUAGGGAAGAACAAAUGUGUAAGUAACUAUGCACGUCUUGACGGUACCUAAUCAGAAAGCCACGGCUAACUACGUG
Molecule: ribosomal RNA, 497 nt
Filed under: uncultured bacterium
Lineage: Bacteria
Description: partial 16S ribosomal RNA
Rfam family: Bacterial small subunit ribosomal RNA
Source: RNAcentral